This 65-nucleotide transfer RNA is filed under the name Trigonopterus tanimbarensis. RNAcentral's name for it is "tRNA-Gly". The record is from RNAcentral. Lineage: Eukaryota; Metazoa; Arthropoda; Insecta; Coleoptera; Curculionidae.
AUUUGCAUAAUAUAAAUAUAUUAUAUUUAACUUCCAAUUAAAAAAUCUAGACACUAGGGCAAAUA